GCGGUCUACUUAUCGCGUUAGCUUCGCUACUCACGACUUAAAGUCACAAACAGCUAGUAGACAGCGUUUACGGUGUGGACUACCAGGGUAUCUAAUCCUGUUCGCUACCCACACUUUCGCACAUGAGCGUCAGUCUUUGGCCAGGGAGUCGCCUUCGCCACUGAUGUUCCUCCAGAUAUCUACGCAUUUCACCGCUACACCUGGAAUUCCACUCCCCUCUCCAAGACUCUAGUCUGCCAGUUCUAAAUGACCGUCCCAGGUUGAGCCCGGGGCUUUCACAUCUAGCUUAACAAACCGCCUGCGUGCGCUUUACGCCCAGUAAUUCCGAUUAACGCUCGCACCCUCCGUAUUACCGCGGCUGCUGGCACGGAGUUAGCCGGUGCUUCUUCUGUUGUUAACGUCACGGCUAGCAGGUAUUAACUACUAACUUUUCCUCACAACUGAAAGUGCUUUACAACCCGAAGGCCUUCUUCACACACGCGGCAUGGCUGCAUCAGGGUUUCCCCCAUUGUGCAAUAUUCCCCACUGCUGCCUCCCGUAGGAGUCUGGGCCGUGUCUCAGUCCCAGUGUGGCUGAUCUUCCUCUCAGAACAGCUAGAGAUCGUUGCCUUGGUGAGCCUUUACCUCACCAACUAGCUAAUCUCACUUGGGCCUCUCUUUGCGCCGGAGCCGAAGCCCCGUUUGGUCCGAAGACAUUAUGCGGUAUUAGCAGUCGUUUCCAACUGUUAUCCCCCUCGCAAAGGCA
RNAcentral lists this ribosomal RNA (744 nucleotides) under Alteromonadaceae bacterium ACEMC 27-3. RNAcentral describes it as "partial 16S ribosomal RNA". The record is from RNAcentral. Lineage: Bacteria; Pseudomonadati; Pseudomonadota; Gammaproteobacteria; Alteromonadales; Alteromonadaceae.